CAACCGCAUAUACCUCGGUCUUACUAUUUUAUUCUCUCUCAGCUCCUUUUGUAUAUAAAGGAGAAGUCUGAGAUUCCAGCUCCAUUUUCUUUCGCCUGCCGCCUCGCUCGCUGCUUGUCACCUGAUACUAAUUAUAUUUUUGGAGGUGACAUUUGAAGACUAGUCAAGAUGGUGAAGUUCACAGCUGAGGAGCUCCGAAGGAUUAUGGACUACAAACACAACAUUCGUAACAUGUCUGUUAUUGCGCAUGUUGAUCACGGGAAGUCAACCCUUACCGACUCCCUUGUUGCUGCUGCUGGUAUCAUUGCACAAGAAGUUGCUGGUGAUGUCCGGAUGACAGAUACCCGUGCAGAUGAGGCAGAGCGUGGUAUCACAAUCAAAUCUACUGGUAUCUCUCUCUACUAUGAGAUGACUGAUGAAGCUUUGAAGAGCUACAAGGGGGAGAGAAACGGAAAUGAGUACCUCAUCAAUCUCAUUGAUUCCCCUGGGCACGUUGACUUUUCAUCUGAAGUCACAGCUGCCCUUCGCAUUACUGAUGGUGCACUUGUGGUGGUUGAUUGCAUUGAGGGUGUUUGUGUCCAAACAGAGACUGUGCUUCGUCAAGCCUUGGGAGAAAGGAUCAGGCCUGUUUUGACUGUUAACAAGAUGGACAGGUGCUUCCUUGAGCUCCAGGUCGAUGGAGAGGAGGCUUACCAAGCAUUCCAAAGGGUUAUUGAGAAUGCUAAUGUCAUUAUGGCUACAUACGAAGACCCCCUUCUUGGUGAUGUCCAGGUCUAUCCAGAGAAAGGAACUGUUGCCUUUUCAGCUGGUUUGCAUGGUUGGGCUUUUACUCUGACCAACUUUGCUAAGAUGUAUGCAUCCAAGUUUGGAGUUGAUGAAUCAAAGAUGAUGGAAAGGCUCUGGGGUGAGAACUACUUUGACCCAGCUACCAAGAAAUGGACCAGCAAAAACACUGGUUCUGCUACCUGCAAGCGUGGUUUCGUUCAGUUCUGUUAUGAACCCAUCAAGCAGAUUAUCAACAUCUGCAUGAAUGAUCAGAAGGAGAAGUUGUGGCCCAUGUUGACAAAGCUUGGUGUGACGAUGAAGAGUGAUGAAAAGGAGCUGAUGGGGAAGGCGUUGAUGAAGCGUGUCAUGCAGACCUGGCUACCAGCCAGCAGUGCCCUAUUGGAAAUGAUGAUCUUUCACCUUCCCUCUCCUUCAACUGCCCAGAGAUACCGUGUUGAGAACUUGUACGAGGGUCCCCUUGAUGAUCAAUAUGCAAAUGCUAUCAGGAACUGCGAUCCUGAAGGGCCUCUUAUGCUCUAUGUAUCUAAGAUGAUUCCCGCAUCUGACAAGGGUCGAUUCUUUGCCUUUGGUCGUGUCUUUGCUGGUAAAGUCCAGACAGGUUUGAAGGUUAGAAUCAUGGGUCCAAAUUAUGUUCCUGGAGAGAAGAAGGAUUUGUAUGUUAAGAACGUGCAGAGGACUGUUAUUUGGAUGGGAAAGAAACAAGAAACUGUUGAGGAUGUUCCUUGUGGUAACACUGUUGCCUUGGUCGGUCUUGAUCAGUUUAUCACCAAGAAUGCUACGUUGACAAAUGAGAAGGAAACGGAUGCUCACCCCAUUCGUGCUAUGAAGUUCUCUGUUUCACCUGUUGUGCGUGUUGCUGUUCAAUGCAAGGUGGCUUCUGACCUUCCCAAACUGGUUGAAGGUCUCAAACGUCUGGCCAAGUCUGAUCCUAUGGUUGUCUGUUCCAUUGAGGAAUCCGGUGAGCACAUUAUUGCUGGUGCUGGUGAACUCCAUCUUGAGAUUUGUUUGAAGGAUCUACAAGAUGAUUUCAUGGGUGGAGCUGAGAUUAUAAAAUCUGAUCCUGUUGUGUCUUUCCGUGAGACUGUCCUGGAGAAGUCUAGUCGUACUGUAAUGAGCAAGUCACCCAACAAGCAUAACCGUCUGUAUAUGGAAGCUCGACCCUUGGAGGAAGGUCUUCCUGAGGCCAUUGAUGAUGGCCGUAUUGGCCCAAGAGAUGAUCCCAAAAUUCGUUCCAAGAUCUUGGCUGAAGAGUUUGGUUGGGACAAGGAUCUUGCUAAGAAAAUCUGGUGUUUUGGCCCUGAGACCACCGGUCCUAACAUGGUGGUGGAUAUGUGUAAGGGAGUUCAGUACCUGAAUGAAAUUAAGGACUCUGUUGUUGCUGGUUUCCAGUGGGCUUCAAAGGAAGGUGCAUUGGCAGAAGAAAACAUGAGGGGUAUUUGCUUUGAAGUCUGUGAUGUGGUUCUUCAUGCUGAUGCCAUCCACAGAGGAGGUGGUCAGGUUAUUCCCACUGCUAGGAGGGUCAUCUAUGCUUCCCAGAUCACUGCCAAGCCAAGGCUCCUUGAACCUGUAUAUCUUGUUGAAAUCCAAGCUCCAGAGCAGGCUCUUGGUGGUAUCUACAGUGUUCUUAAUCAGAAACGUGGGCAUGUGUUUGAGGAAAUGCAGAGGCCUGGUACUCCACUCUACAAUAUCAAGGCAUACCUCCCCGUCAUUGAAUCUUUUGGGUUCUCUGGUCAACUGAGGGCUUCGACUUCAGGGCAGGCCUUCCCACAAUGUGUCUUUGAUCAUUGGGAGAUGAUGUCGUCUGAUCCAUUGGAAGUUGGAUCCCAGGCUUCACAGCUUGUUACAGAUAUCCGUAAGAGGAAGGGUUUGAAGGAGCAAAUGACCCCACUAUCUGAGUUUGAGGACAAACUCUGAGUAAUUUCUUUGAUUAUAUCGAACAAUUGGAUGACUGAGUUACUUUGAGACAGUAGUUCCAUUGCACUGCCUAUUUUUUGUUUUCAGUUUUUUGUUUUCGUUUAAUGUUUGUACCAACCCUGUUGUUGUAGUCAGCAUCCUGUGCCAGUAGUAACGUUUUGUGCCUUCUCAGAAGAUUAUGUAAUGUUAUGUUCUUACUUUGUUGCUUAUGGAACCAUUUCUGCCAUUGCUGGGAAAAACAUUGGUGGCAGUCUCUGACCACCUUGGCAUGCCGAGUGGCCGGACAGGGUGGCAUACUUAAGACCAGUCUUGCUGUAGGAGUUGGAUUGAUUUGCUUUUUCAAUUUUCUGUCGGGAUUCUUGUGUUGUGUAGCAGCAUCAAGUAAAAUUUGAUUGCUUUGUGAUUUUGGAGCAUCACUGGAACUUUUAGAUAGUAAAUAACUGUAUUGGCCUUGUAUUUGCAACUUCCGGAGCAUUUGGCCUUUGAUUUUGCUUAAAGUGGCAUUGCA
RNA transcript from Prunus dulcis (almond), 3208 nucleotides. It is a transcript of the gene named elongation factor 2, with no coding region annotated. The record is from RefSeq and is a predicted model, not a curated record. NCBI's taxonomy places the organism in Eukaryota, Viridiplantae, Streptophyta, Magnoliopsida, Rosales, Rosaceae. The transcript is spliced from 5 exons.